AUGCUGGGAACGGACCUGUGUCCGAACAAUAUAUGGCACUAUUUUUCCUGGUGCUAUAGUUUCCUUCCAGAUGGGGAGAGGUUCUAUACCUUUGGCUUAGCUGCACUCUGUUGGGCUAUGUGGAAUUGCCAUAACAGAACCACCUUUGAGUUCAAGAAGUUGAGAUCUCCAUUUGAUGUAAUAUACGUUGCUUGUGGUUAUAUUACAUAUUGGGCAGUUCUGAUGAUGGGAGAAGACCGUGAAGCAAUGGAGCGGGGAUCUAAGAUGCUGAGAAUCAAUGCUUCGAACAUGAUGCGUAUCUGUGCGGCUCCGGGAGGGACGAACUGA
RNAcentral lists this ribosomal RNA (327 nucleotides) under Triticum aestivum (bread wheat). RNAcentral's name for it is "partial small subunit ribosomal RNA". Lineage: Eukaryota; Viridiplantae; Streptophyta; Magnoliopsida; Poales; Poaceae. The record is from RNAcentral.